This is a small nucleolar RNA of Ictidomys tridecemlineatus (thirteen-lined ground squirrel), 136 nucleotides long. The record is from Ensembl. NCBI's taxonomy places the organism in Eukaryota, Metazoa, Chordata, Mammalia, Rodentia, Sciuridae.
GUAAGAGUUUGGAUUUAUGGCAGGCCCAUCCUCCUGGGUCUCUCAUAGUGUCCCAUGCCGGAGUAAACUGUGUCCCUAAACCAUUGCCUGGCCUCUGUGCCUGCAGACUUCUGGCACUGAAGAGGAUUGUACAGUU